UGGGGAAUAUUGGACAAUGGGCGAAAGCCUGAUCCAGCAAUGCCGCGUGAGUGAUGAAGGCCUUCGGGUUGUAAAGCUCUGUCGGGAGGGACGAAAAAACAGCUUAACAAACUGUAUUGACGGUACCUCCAAAGGAAGCACCGGCUAACUCUGUGCCAGCAGCCGCGGUAAUACAGAGGGUGCAAGCGUUGUUCGGAAUUACUGGGCGUAAAGCGCGUGUAGGUGGCGAGAUAAGUCGGGUGUGAAAUCCCUUGGCUUAACCAAGGAAGUGCAUUCGAUACUGUUUCGCUUGAGUAUCGGAGGGGUCGGCGGAAUUCCCGGUGUAGAGGUGAAAUUCGUAGAUAUCGGGAGGAACACCUGUGGCGAAGGCGGCCGACUGGACGAUCACUGACACUGAGACGCGAAAGCGUGGGUAGCAAACAG
Molecule: ribosomal RNA, 423 nt
Filed under: uncultured bacterium
Lineage: Bacteria
Description: bacterial SSU rRNA
Rfam family: Bacterial small subunit ribosomal RNA
Source: RNAcentral